GAUUUUAUAAUUUAAUAAAAAUUAUAAAUUGCAAAUUUAUCCUAUAUCUUCUUUAAGAUUAAAAUCU
RNAcentral lists this transfer RNA (67 nucleotides) under Primeuchroeus sp. M48. RNAcentral's name for it is "tRNA-Cys". Lineage: Eukaryota; Metazoa; Arthropoda; Insecta; Hymenoptera; Chrysididae. The record is from RNAcentral.